CUACGGGAGGCAGCAGUGGGGAAUAUUGCACAAUGGGCGAAAGCCUGAUGCAGCGACGCCGCGUGAGGGAUGACGGCCUUCGGGUUGUAAACCUCUUUCAGCAGGGACGAAGCGCAAGUGACGGUACCUGCAGAAGAAGCACCGGCUAACUACGUGCCAGCAGCCGCGGUAAUACGUAGGGUGCAAGCGUUGUCCGGAAUUACUGGGCGUAAAGAGUUCGUAGGCGGUUUGUCGCGUCGUUUGUGAAAACCAGCAGCUCAACUGCUGGCUUGCAGGCGAUACGGGCAGACUUGAGUACUGCAGGGGAGACUGGAAUUCCUGGUGUAGCGGUGAAAUGCGCAGAUAUCAGGAGGAACACCGGUGGCGAAGGCGGGUCUCUGGGCAGUAACUGACGCUGAGGAACGAAAGCGUGGGUAGCGAACAGGAUUAGAUACCCUGGUAGUCCACGCCGUAAACGGUGGGCGCUAGGUGCGGGUUCCUUCCACGGAAUCCGUGCCGUAGCUAACGCAUUAAGCGCCCCGCCUGGGGAGUACGGCCGCAAGGCUAAAACUCAAAGGAAUUGACGGA
RNAcentral lists this ribosomal RNA (567 nucleotides) under uncultured bacterium. RNAcentral's name for it is "bacterial SSU rRNA". It matches the Rfam family "Bacterial small subunit ribosomal RNA", at positions 339 to 917 of the family's 1533-position model. The record is from RNAcentral.